Molecule: ribosomal RNA, 186 nt
Filed under: Hymenobacter negativus
Lineage: Bacteria; Pseudomonadati; Bacteroidota; Cytophagia; Cytophagales; Hymenobacteraceae
Description: partial 23S ribosomal RNA
Rfam family: Bacterial large subunit ribosomal RNA
Source: RNAcentral
AGAGAAGUAACAAAGAGCACACGGGGGAUGCCUAGGGUCUCAGAGGCGACGAAGGACGCGAUAAGCUGCGAUAAGCUGGGGGUAGAGGCACAUACUCGUUCAUCCUCAGAUUUCCGAAUGGGGCAACCCCUCGACUGGAAGAGUCGAGAAUCGACUAGCUUGACUAGCGAUGGCAAACGCAGGGAA